RNAcentral lists this long non-coding RNA (1528 nucleotides) under Marmota monax (woodchuck). The record is from RNAcentral. Lineage: Eukaryota; Metazoa; Chordata; Mammalia; Rodentia; Sciuridae.
UCAUUGCUCUCCAUAGGAACUGUAUACCUGGAGGGAAAUAAGCCAAGAGUCUAUUGAAGCUGCAACUGAAAAAAUUCAGAAGAAGCAAGGCUACCAUGAAUCAGGAAACUUUGCCCAUGUUUUGAUGAAUUGAUUGUGUUAAUUGGCAUCCCAUCCCAAUGCCAGCUUUACCUCAGUUAUAUGAAGAACCACGAGGGGGCAAUGUCUUCCUGAGCAAUAGCUGAUGGUGGUCCUGAACCCCUGUGCUGGCCAGUAACCAACACUUUGCCCUCCUUGGCCAUUCUUGCCUGUUACUGAAUACAUUCCACAGAAAGGCAUUGUUUUGCUGGAGCCUGGCAGGGACCCAAAAAAAAUGACAAUUGAUCUAGUCCUUGAUGGUUCCAGUCAGACCCCACUUAGUAGGUAGAAUAUGUUGUUUUUUUUUUAAUAUUUAUUUUUUAGUUUUUUCGGACACAACAUCUUUGUUUGUAUGUGGUGCUGAGGAUCGAACCUGGGGCGCACGCAUGCCAGGCGAGCGCGCUACCGCUUGAGCCACAUCCCCAGCCCGGUAGAAUAUGUUGUGACUGCAGGAUGCUGGGAGAACCUUCCCUACCCCCACUCAGGGAAAUGUGGCUUAAUUCCAAAUAUAGAACCUAAUUCUUUUGUAUUUAAGCCAACCAGGAUUUUGUCCAUUGUUGAAAGUCAGAAACCUGUGGGAUAAGAAACAAAACCAAGUUCCAUGAGAGGAGCCAUGCCUGGCUUAUUCAUUGUUUUGUUUCAAACAUCUAGACAGUGCCUAACACAUAGUAGGCACAUAAUUUUUUAAAAAUUUAUUUAUUUAUUGCUUUUUUGGGGAUUGAACCCUGGGGCACUACCACUGAGCUAUAUCACCAACUGUUUUUGAGACAGGAUCUCCCUAACUUACCUUACUGGCCAUAAAGUUGGAUUCUUCUGCCUCAGUAACUGGAAUCACAGGCAUGUGCCACUGCACUUGGCCACUCAGUUAUUUUUUAAUGAAUCAAAUCUUAUCGGGUACUAAUUAUUGGAGUUGAAUGGCAUUAUGGGAUACUUUCAAGAUCCUGGGAGAAGGACUGAAUUAUUAGAAGACUCUUUGAGUGGAGACUCAUCACAAGGUCACUGGGCAGGGUCAUGGCAUGAGUCUUUAUUCAGUCUUUAUUUAUUUUGUGAGGGGUAGGACCUAGAUAAAAACUUUGUGCAGAGUGGAACAACUAAUGAGAUUUCAACAAAUAAAAGGUAAAAUCACACCAUGGCCUUGACACAACAAGCAACAGAGUUGAGAAGACAACAGGAUACCUAAAAUUUAUAUAGUCACUGGGAAGGGGAAAUGCAGGGUGUUUGCAGGAAAGCGGAGAAGAAUGGGAUAACAUGGCAGGAGGAAAGGGAUUUCUGUUUGCUGUCCUUUCCAUGAAGAAUGGUUUAGACUUGUUUGGAAGAAAAAUCAGUAACGUAUUAUCAACAAAACCCAAGGAAAAUCUAUAAACAGACUUCCACUAUUUAUAAAACUUUAUAACAGAAGGGAGAGAGAGAG